AGGCGAAGCUGCAAAGAGAGUAAACUCUCAUCCGUCCCCAAAUCUAAAGAGUGCACUUUGGCUGAAGUCAUGUCCAAGACGUGAAUGACCUGGAAGAAGAACAGUGAAAUCCUUGAGAAUAUUUUGCAGAACAGCGUAAAAGUGAGGCUUAUUUGUGUAACGAUCCAGUCCUCCGCCACGACUUGAAGGAUCCCAAAGCAACAGCAUCUGGAGAAGAGACUCUAUUUGUUCCUGCAGAGGUCUGAACAAACAAACACAUCAGAUGAGUUACUCAGAAACAAGAGAGCUGGACGAAUUUAAAGUAAAAUAUUACAUUGUGACCUGCUAAGACUGUUGGGAUAUGGUAGGCGUGCUGAAAAAUGAACUUCACCGUUCAUGUCCUCGAAUGCCAUGAUGUCCUUCGGCCCCUUGUUUUUGACUUUGCUUGUCCUGCAGGAGCACAAAUAGACCCAUUCAAAUAAAUGCUGAAAACAACAAAUUAACGUUUGCUUUUCUUCUUUUUCUAAUCCAAGUUUUCCUCAUUUUUAAGUACAAAAUUGCCAGGAGUUGUAAAUCACUUGUGCUGGGAACAUGAAAAUACAUUUAGAAUACCUGACGCAAGACUGAAAAGACCUUCUAACAUUCAUCACCAUUCUUGAAACACAACUAGUCUGGAAAACAUAACCAGACAUCUCCAUUUUUCCUUUAAAAUGCUACACUCUUAGAGUGUCUCCAACAUUAGAGAAAUCUUUAAAGAAAUCUUUCUAGCUCUCCAAAGAUUGUUCGAAGAACAUUUUAAAAUGAAUUAAGCAUUCAGGGUAAAAUCUGAAGUUAACUGAGUUAAAAAAAACUGUAAUCUUACCUUAAAAAAGGUAAUAAAUAAUAAAAGAAAUUACAAAAAAAAAAAAAAACGUUUGUUUACACACAGACUUUGUUCAGAAACAGGCCUGAGUUGAAGUUCACUUAGUGCACCUUUUUUCUGAACCGAUAAGAUUUGAUUCAUGUAAUUAAGGUUUUGCCCCACCUUUUUUUACACUAGUAAAUUAGCAUGAGUCAAACUGUGAAUGACUACAGAAGGAAAAAAAACAUGAUGCAUAUUUUUAGCUUACCACUGUACGGGUUGCAUGUGGUGCAGAAAAGGCCGGAAGCCACAAAUGCAUUCAAAGAGCACUGUCCCAAAACUCCAGUAGUCCACGCUUACAGUGUAGGGCUUGCUCUCAAACAGCUCUGGAGCCUGUCACGUGUACAUACAAAGCUUCAAAACUAAAUAAAAAUGCAAAAGAAUCAUAUAUUUUGUACGAUAAAUUUACCAAAUACUGUAGUGUUCCAACAAAGGAUGUGCAGAGACUGCCUUGAUCCAGAUCUUUUGCAUACCCCAGGUCUAUAAUUUUAUGUACAAGCUGGAGAAGGAAUUUUGAAACAAAAGUUUAAAAAAAAAGAACUAAAAAA
This is a long non-coding RNA of Oryzias melastigma (Indian medaka), 1428 nucleotides long. RefSeq lists it as uncharacterized. The transcript has 2 exons. The record is from RefSeq and is a predicted model, not a curated record. Lineage: Eukaryota; Metazoa; Chordata; Actinopteri; Beloniformes; Adrianichthyidae.